AUGAAUUGUUCUCUCUCAUACACAGAAGACAGCGCGGAAGUUGAAUAUAACGCUCCCUGCAGCACAGGUAAGGAUGGAACGAGGCUUGGGCACAUGUCAGAAAGGAGAGUCACAUAAUGCUCAUAGUGGCCGCUGGUGAGCUUUAGGUGGAAUUGUGCAGGCAUCCACUGUGCAAGGAGAACUCCCCUCCCUGCACAUCAUGAUGGGUGGCUGGCCUGGACCCACAAUGCUUAAUAUAUUAUGCCUUAUUUUCUUCGUGUUUCUUCCCACAGAGAGCACAAAGAAAGACCACCACUAGCUCUGCAUCCGAGGCGUGAAGCAAACCCAGAUGAACAGCACAAUUGCUGCAGGAGAUCUCCCAUCUUAGGUCAUUGUUUUGAGUCUGCUUUGUUAGGUCAUGUACAGAUGAUGUCUUGGCUCCAAAGAUCACUGUGUGCAAGCACAAAAGCACUUCUUCUUCUUCUUCUAAUUUUUUAUUAUUUUAUUCACAUAAUAUACAUUCUUUAUAAGAGACAACUCCAAAA
Podarcis lilfordi (Lilford's wall lizard) is the source of this 524-nucleotide non-coding RNA. The record is from the annotation of a GenBank genome assembly. NCBI's taxonomy places the organism in Eukaryota, Metazoa, Chordata, Lepidosauria, Squamata, Lacertidae.